UGGCUGCAGGAACCUCUCCCCCUAGUGAUGCAGUUAUUUAUAGCCCAAACUCCAGCCCGAGUCUGCGUGUGUUCGCGCGCGGGGUUUCGCCGCGGCGGUGCAAACUUUUCCUCUGGUCCGCUAUUCCAGAGGAAUCAUUGUGACACUGCUCAAAAGCAAGAGACUUCCAUUGACAGGGUUUAUUUUUCCCCAGCUCCAACUACAGGCACCGAAAGGUAUUU
RNAcentral lists this long non-coding RNA (221 nucleotides) under Homo sapiens (human). Its description in RNAcentral is "HSALNT0110068". Lineage: Eukaryota; Metazoa; Chordata; Mammalia; Primates; Hominidae. The record is from RNAcentral.